GACGGAGUUUCGCUCUGUUGUUCCAGCUGGAGUGCAGUGGCACAAUGUCUGCUCAUUGCAACCUCCGCCUCCUGGGUUCAAGCGAUUCUCCUGCCUCGGCCUCCUAAGUAGCUGGGAUUACAGGUGCAUGCCACCAUGCCUGGCUAAUUUUUGUAUUUUCAGUAGAGAUGGGGUUUCAUCACGUUGGUCAGGCUGGUCUUGAACUCCGACCUCGUGAUUCGCCCACCUAAGCCUCAGCCUCCCAAAGUGCUGGGAUUACACGCGUGAGCCAUUGACCUGGCCUGGAAUCAGGUUUUCUAACUAGGAUUCAAACUUGAAAAUCCUACUCCUUUGACUGCGGGGCCGGGUGUGGUGUCUCACACCUGUAAUCCCAGCACUUAUGGGAGGCCCAGGCGGGCGGAUCACUUGAGGUCAGGAGUUCAAGACCAGCCUGGCCAACAUGGCAAAAGCCCAUCUCCACUAAAAAAAAUACACAUGCCUGUAAUCCCAGCUACUUGGGAGGCUGAGGCAGGAGAAUCAUUUGAACCCAGGAGGCGGAGGUUGCAGUGAGCCAAGAGCGUGCCACUGCACUUCAACCUGGGCGACAGAGUGAGACCCUAUCUCAAAACAAAACGCCAAAUGAGGAGUGCACGAUUACCCCCGAGCAGGAAUAGGGGAGCAGCAUCUGAAUUCAAAGGGCCAGAGCAGCAGAGGUAGCCCUUGGAAGAACCUCCAUGGAAAGACAGAGCUUGGAGAAUAGAAUUGGGACAGAGCUCCAGCUGCCUCUUCCAUGGCCGGCUGUGGGAGAUCCAGGAUUAACUUUUGAUAUGAGAGCUAUUGGGUUUCCUUAUAGGAACUGAAUGAAAGCAAUUUCAUUCCAAAACCCACUGGUCUUUGUUCUGAGCGGAGAACAUAGCGGCAGAGGCCUGGAGGUAUCGAACAGCAUGGGCCAUGGUGGGAGAUGGGGUGGGGGACAGUGGAGUCUGAGGGGCAAGGACAUUGCAGGAGGGGCCCUAGGAGUGGGAGGGUCGGGGGGGGACUUUGAAUAAGGGAAUUUCAGGAGAUGGGGCCUGGACACAGGGGCAAUGUGGGAGAGGAGGGCCUGAGGCAGAUACAUCAUGAGAGAUGGUGAGAGAUGGGGUCCCUGAGAGAAGGGGCCUUUGGCAGAUGGGCCCUGAAUUAGGGGAGUAGGCGGGUGGUGUGCUGGGAGAUGAGGGAACACCCAAGAAGAUUGUGAGUUCCAGGCAGGGUGUGGUGGCUCACGCCUGUAAUCCCAGCACUUUGGGAGGCCAAGGUGGGCGGAUCACUUAAGGCCAGGAGUUCGAGAGCAGCCUGCCCGACAUGGUGAAACCCCAUCUUUACUAAACAUACAAAAAAAAAAUUAGCUGCGCGUGAUGGUGCGCGCCUGUAAUCCCAGCUACUGGGAAGGCUGAGUCAGGAGAGUCACUUGAACCCAGGAGGCAGAGGUUGCAGUGAGCUGUGACUGUGCCACUGUACUCCAGCCUGGGUGACAGAAUGAGACCCUGUCUCAAAAAAAAAAAAAAAAA
Molecule: long non-coding RNA, 1526 nt
Filed under: Macaca fascicularis (crab-eating macaque)
Lineage: Eukaryota; Metazoa; Chordata; Mammalia; Primates; Cercopithecidae
Description: lncRNA (ENSMFAG00000059816.1)
Source: RNAcentral